UUCCCCUAGUAACUGCGAGUGAAGCGGGAAAAGCUCAAAUUUAAAAUCUGGCAGUCUUUGGCUGUCCGAGUUGUAGUCUGGAGAAGUGUUUUCCGCGCUGGACCGUGUACAAGUCCCUUGGAAUAGGGCGUCAUAGAGGGUGAGAAUCCCGUCUUUGACACGGACUACCAGUGCUUUGUGAUGCGCUCUCAAAGAGUCGAGUUGUUUGGGAAUGCAGCUCAAAAUGGGUGGUAAAUUCCAUCUAAAGCUAAAUAUUGGCGAGAGACCGAUAGCGAACAAGUACCGUGAGGGAAAGAUGAAAAGCACUUUGGAAAGAGAGUUAAACAGUACGUGAAAUUGCUGAAAGGGAAACGAUUGAAGUCAGUCGCGUCGUGCAGAACUCAGCCUGGCUUUUGCUUGGUGUAUUUUCUGCAUGACGGGCCAGCAUCAGUUUUGGCCGCUGGAAAAGGGUUUCAGGAAUGUGGCACCUUCGGGUGUGUUAUAGCCUGGGGUCGUAUACAGCGGCUGGGACUGAGGAUCGCAGUGCGCCUUUAUGGCUGGGGUUCGCCCAC
This 551-nucleotide ribosomal RNA is filed under the name Somion delectans. RNAcentral describes it as "partial 28S ribosomal RNA". It matches the Rfam family "Eukaryotic large subunit ribosomal RNA", at positions 75 to 606 of the family's 3401-position model. Lineage: Eukaryota; Fungi; Basidiomycota; Agaricomycetes; Polyporales; Cerrenaceae. The record is from RNAcentral.